Molecule: long non-coding RNA, 1358 nt
Organism: Oreochromis aureus
Lineage: Eukaryota; Metazoa; Chordata; Actinopteri; Cichliformes; Cichlidae
Exons: 4
Source: RefSeq, a predicted model, not a curated record
CACCUCAGGUCGAGCUCAUCGUCACUAACACGAGCACUGAGACGGACAGCUAACAGCUAACGCUAACAGGUUGUGUCACAUCGUUGUUGUUGUUUAUGACUGACGUGUGCAGAGCUGCAAACACCCGGAUGGGUGUGCAGCUUUUUAAAAGAUGACAAACCCCCUCGAGGAUGAGAAACGCCACGAGGACACGAGGAGGAGGCGUGCUGCAAAUCCCAUGAAAGCAGCAGACCCACAGUAAAUGUUCGCUACACCACCGUCUAAUAGAUCCUCUCAUCCCUCUGCACCGCCCAGCCCCGCCACUGUUAAAGUUUCACCUCAGGUCACCUCGGCUUGCUCGGACACCGUCGCCAAAGUGUUUCUGAACCAUCAGCAUCAUCCAGGUUUCCAUCUUUUCCUUCCAAAGUCCAACCGAAAGCUCUUCUCCUUCUUUCUUUAACUCUUUAAUCUCCACGUGGAAGCAAAGUGGAAUCAGCUGCUGCUGUCUGACUGAAAGCAUCAGGAGACGUCUGUGGCAGAACCUGACGUGUUACGUGGAGGUCAGAGGUCGUGUAGAGGACCCAGCUGCAGGAUGCUGAGGCAGGCAGACUGCCGGGACAGACGGGCCGACAUGCGGACGUUUCCACAGCCGAGCGGCUCCAACAGAGGACAUGCAGCGGUUUCACUGAACCUGUCGUCACAUCAGGAGGACUCCCUCAUGCGUCACCUACAGUGAGAUCAUGCUGGCACACCAAAACUCUACCAGCGCUAAACGUCCGAACAAAUCCUGGAACGAUUUCAUCCCGUUUGUUCCAGAUUAUUGGGAACUUUCUGAGAAAGGUCUGCUGGUAACAUGGCGGUCGGUUUCACAGCUGCUGAAGGAUGAAACCGACAUCAGAAGGUGGAUGAAGCAGGAGAACAUGGUGUGUUUGUAGGGCAGGCAUCACAGAGGAGACGGAGCAGAGGGGACGAAAGCAGGACACGGCUGAUGGAGUGUGCAAAGAGAGGAGGUGGAGGAUGGUAGAGCGGGAGGAUGGUUGGUUAGUUGGUUGGAGGGGGAGGAUGAAGAGACACGAUAACAGCAGGAGGGAAGAAACAGCAGAUGAGAUGAAGACUGCAAAGACUCGCAGGGGGAGUAGAAGGUUCAUGGAGCUGGCAUUUGGAGGACAGGAGCAGGCUAACGAAGGAAAGGUGAAACUGAGACUAAUGAAUGAAGGGGGGGGGGUGAAGUCACGAGCUCGCCCUCAGUGCCCGUCGGCCUCCUCAGGCUCGAUGAUUAUUGACGUGUUUCUGAAAGAAAUGCAUCGUGGGAAAUGUGGUCGAAACAUGGCAUGAAACUGUUCUAAGAUGUUUUCUCCAAUAAAUAAAUGGAAAUGAUA